GUUCUGCUUUGGCAGUGUAUAUAUUAAAUUUGAAUGAUACAGAGAAGAUUAGCAUAGCCUGUUCCAAGGAUGACACACAAAUUCAUAAAGCACUCCUUUA
Small nuclear RNA from Gorilla gorilla gorilla (western lowland gorilla), 100 nucleotides. The record is from Ensembl. NCBI's taxonomy places the organism in Eukaryota, Metazoa, Chordata, Mammalia, Primates, Hominidae.